CAGCCGCCGCGGUAAAACGGAGGGUGCAAGCGUUAUCCGGAUUUAUUGGGUUUAAAGGGUCCGUAGGCGGACUUAUAAGUCAGUGGUGAAAGCCUGUCGCUUAACGAUAGAACUGCCAUUGAUACUGUAAGUCUUGAGUAUAUUUGAGGUAGCUGGAAUAAGUAGUGUAGCGGUGAAAUGCAUAGAUAUUACUUAGAACACCAAUUGCGAAGGCAGGUUACCAAGAUAUAACUGACGCUGAGGGACGAAAGCGUGGGUAGCGAACAGGAUUAGAGACCCGCGUAGUCCCUGUCUCUUAUAA
This 301-nucleotide ribosomal RNA is filed under the name uncultured bacterium. RNAcentral describes it as "partial 16S ribosomal RNA". It matches the Rfam family "Bacterial small subunit ribosomal RNA", at positions 509 to 809 of the family's 1533-position model. The record is from RNAcentral.